CCUACGGGAGGCAGCAGUGGGGAAUAUUGCGCAAUGGGCGAAAGCCUGACGCAGCGAUGCCGCGUGAGGGAUGAAGGUCUUCGGAUCGUAAACCUCUGUCAGCAGGGAAGAACGGUCACUGUGCUAAUCAGCAGUGAAUUGACGGUACCUGCAAAGGAAGCACCGGCUAACUCCGUGCCAGCAGCCGCGGUAAUACGGAGGGUGCGAGCGUUAAUCGGAAUUACUGGGCGUAAAGCGCUCGUAGGCGGUAUGUCAAGUCAAGGGUGAAAUCCCCGCGCUCAACGUGGGAACUGCCUUUGAAACUGGCAAACUGGAGUGUGUGAGAGGAUAGUGGAAUUCCAGGUGUAGGAGUGAAAGCCGUAGAUAUCUGGAGGAACAUCAGUGGCGAAGGCGACUAUCUGGCACAUAACUGACGCUGAGGAGCGAAAGCGUGGGUAGCAAACAGGAUUAGAUACCCUAGUAGUC
RNAcentral lists this ribosomal RNA (465 nucleotides) under uncultured bacterium. Its description in RNAcentral is "partial 16S ribosomal RNA". It matches the Rfam family "Bacterial small subunit ribosomal RNA", at positions 338 to 795 of the family's 1533-position model. The record is from RNAcentral.